RNAcentral lists this long non-coding RNA (2836 nucleotides) under Homo sapiens (human). RNAcentral's name for it is "HSALNT0114483". The record is from RNAcentral. Lineage: Eukaryota; Metazoa; Chordata; Mammalia; Primates; Hominidae.
CUCAGUCUGACAUGACUGCUACGUAGUACCCAGACGGCUUCUUUCUCGAUCUUCAGGGGUACGUGUCUUCCAUCCAGGUCCCAAUAUCAUCACCAGAUGAGAAUAUGUAUGGAUUCAUGAACAAGAAAAUUGCUUAACCAUUUGAUCAAGAGAGAUUGGAAAAUCAAGAUGAAGCAGGUCUGGGUGAAAGAGCUGUGAAUGGAUUAAUGGAACAGAAAGGAGGUGUGGAGAUCCUUCUAUUACAUGUUAAUGAUCACCAGGGAACAUCCACUACAAUAGAACAUCCCACUAAAUCACCAGUAGACACAAGAGAAUAUGUGGCCAGUUGACUUUGGCCAGCCUCUGUCAUUAGAUGUCAAUGUUCAAACAACGGUACAUGAAUGGCAUAGCCCUGGUAGCAGGAGUGGGGGCUAUGCAUGGAUCCAGCAAUACACACUCCCACUCCACAACAUUGACCCAGCCACCAAGGCUGACAAAAUAUUCAACCUUCCAGCAACAGAAACCAAGGAUGACCCUUAUCCCUGCCCAGGUAUGGUAUUAGCCCUUGAGACUAACCAGCCAUGUGGUGGGAAGUUGAAUAUCUUCUACCCUGGAAAGGUCAUUGAUUCAUUUUAGUAUGAAUUAAUUCAUGUUUCUGGGUUGGAUUUGCUGUUCUUGCCUGCAGGGCCUCAGCUGGCACCAGCAUCUAAAGGCUUAGAGAGUUAGUGAUCCACCAACAUGGCAUCUCACAUAACAUCCCAUCAAACCAAGUGACCCACUUUACUAGAAAUGAGGUGCACGAGUGGACAAGCUCCAGCUUGACCCAAGUGGAACAAGCUCUACUAGUCCCAUCAGAUCAUGCACCAUCCAGAAGCUGCCACACUAACAGAGUGAUGGAAAGGCCUGUUGAAGGCAUAGUGGAUGAGCCACACCAUUGCAAGGGGCAGCCUGCAUCCAACAACUUGUCAGCACAGGACUAUAAAGGCCUUACCCUUUGCCUCUGUGAAGCAUCCCACAGAGAGGUGCAUCCACCUCUGAAGGUACAUCCCAGCUUCAGGCUCCCAGUCACUUUGGGCUUACCCAGCCUCUUCGUCUGCCCUGCUUUUCUCCCUCCCCUUCCUUCCUGCAGGUUUGGAUCCUGAGAGCACUCCCUAAUAAACCUCAUGCCCACAAAUCUCUAUCUUGGAAUCUGCUUCUUCGGAACCAAAUCUGGGACAGAUCAAUUUACAAAGAUAGAAGGGUUUAGGAAGGCAAAAGGGUUUCUGUUACCAUGUCUAGGCCUGAAGGGACAAAGAGAGGAACUUGGAGCAAGAGCCAUAUGGAAAAAACAAUCUGAAAGAUUGUAGGGAUUCUGGCAGAAGCACAAGGCCAAGCCCUGGCAAUCCCCACCUCACAUCCCUCCGCUCUUUCAUCUCCCCUUAGUGCCUCCCAUUGUAGAACCAAACUGGAAGUGGUGGUCAGUGGAUUCCUUUGUCUGUUUCUUAUAGGUCAGCCUCCUGGGGCAGAGAGCAUGUUAGAGUGUGGAUUUGGAGGUGCAAAUGAAAGUUACCCUGUAGCCCACUUGACUCUGUAGAUUUCUUUUUCUCUUACAGAAAAUAAAUUAAAUUAUGUAUCUUCUUUAGAGAUAGGGUAUGACUUCUAUUUUGAGUUAUCUGUGUCAUUUAAUUAAUAUACAAAUAAAAUGACAUGACAGAAAAUACUUACUUGAAUACAAAGGACAAGUAAUUAGAUCUUAGAUAAUAAAUCCAUCCCUUUAGAUAAGACUUUAGGCAAAUGGAUUUAUAAGUAAAAGCAAUAGGAAAACUUGCUACCUAAGCAUGAAAAAUGAUGUUCCUGAUAAAUUCCUGGAAGGAAGCUGGUGUCAGCCCCCAACUCCUUUCUAGGCCUCUACCAGCCUAUAUUCCAAAUGGCCCUGCCAUGGCUCUUCUUUUCUUAAGAUUUGAUCUUUCUCCAGGCAUGGAUGAACCACAUGUAAGACAUUUAAACAGCCCAGGUGCCAAAUUUAGUAGGGCUUAGGAUUACACAACAUUCCCAAACCUGGGAUCUGAAGGGCCAGGUGCUGACCAACAGGAUCCCAAAUUCAUCCCAGGGGCUCUUUGACCGAUAACCAGAAUGUGAAUUCAACUGCUGGAUGACCCCAUGCAAAGCUCUCCCUGGCGCUGAGUAAUCCAGUUCCCUUUUCAUUAAAAGCCAUCUACUUUCCCAGGAGGGGGAAUCCUUCUGCACAGCCCAUUCCUAUGACUAAGCUCUGUGUUCACAAGGAAGAUCUCCUCUCAGUCCUGCUAUGCCCCCACUGCUGAGCUUGGAACCCCAAUACUAAGUAUAGCCUGUGUCACAAUUGUUCUUGCUGAGAUCUUCUACUAUUGCCUGAACACAACUCAUUCCUGAUCCCCUCUAGUGAGUAUGUCCCUGGCCAUUUUUCAGCACUUUUAUCCUCUUUUCUUGCUCUGAGUUUUCAUGGACAGGGUAUCUAGGAAAAGGAAAAGGAAGAAGGAAUAAAUCAAAUGCCUACAGACCUUCAAAGAGUGCUCCAAAGCCAGUGUAAAGCACUGGGGAACAGUGAGGAUUAGGGCAAAAUAUUUCUUAUAAUGUUCUGAGUUUCAUGAGUUGAAGGCUUUAGUGCUUAAUGUCCAAAUGAUGCAAAUGAAAACACCCUUUCAUUCUUCUUUUCCUUUUUAAAAAACAAGGAAGAAGACAGUCAAAGCCUCAGUCUAUACUAUAUUUACACUUGACUCAAAUGCAUUAAUAACAUUGUAGACUAAGGAGGUAUCUGGGGGAAAAAUAGUUUUGUGAUUUAACUGUAGUGCAAAUUUUACCUAGUAAAAGGUUUUUGAUAUUUAUCCUCAGAGAAGAUCUA